AUUGAACGCUGGCGGCACGCCUUACACAUGCAAGUCGAACGGUAACAGGUCUUCGGAUGCUGACGAGUGGCGAACGGGUGAGUAAUACAUCGGAACGUGCCUAGUAGUGGGGGAUAACUACUCGAAAGAGUGGCUAAUACCGCAUGAGAUCUACGGAUGAAAGCAGGGGAUCGCAAGACCUUGUGCUACUAGAGCGGCCGAUGGCAGAUUAGGUAGUUGGUGGGAUAAAAGCUUACCAAGCCGACGAUCUGUAGCUGGUCUGAGAGGACGAUCAGCCACUGGGACUGAGACACGGCCCAGACUCCUACGGGAGGCAGCAGUGGGGAAUUUUGGACAAUGGGCGCAAGCCUGAUCCAGCAAUGCCGCGUGCAGGAUGAAGGCCUUCGGGUUGUAAACUGCUUUUGUACGGAACGAAAAGCCCCGGGUUAAUACCCUGGGGUCAUGACGGUACCGUAAGAAUAAGCACCGGCUAACUACGUGCCAGCCGCCGCAGUAA
This 496-nucleotide ribosomal RNA is filed under the name uncultured bacterium. Its description in RNAcentral is "partial 16S ribosomal RNA". It matches the Rfam family "Bacterial small subunit ribosomal RNA", at positions 30 to 523 of the family's 1533-position model. The record is from RNAcentral.